This 448-nucleotide ribosomal RNA is filed under the name uncultured bacterium. RNAcentral describes it as "bacterial SSU rRNA". It matches the Rfam family "Bacterial small subunit ribosomal RNA", at positions 329 to 794 of the family's 1533-position model. The record is from RNAcentral.
GGCCAGACUCCUACGGGAGGCAGCAGUGGGGAAUAUUGCACAAUGGGGGAAACCCUGAUGCAGCGACGCCGCGUGAGUGAAGAAGUAUUUCGGUAUGUAAAGCUCUAUCAGCAGGGAAGAAAAUGACAGUACCUGACUAAGAAGCCCCGGCUAACUACGUGCCAGCAGCCGCGGUAAUACGUAGGGGGCAAGCGUUAUCCGGAUUUACUGGGUGUAAAGGGAGCGUAGACGGCAGCGCAAGUCUGAAGUGAAAUCCCAUGGCUUAACCAUGGAACUGCUUUGGAAACUGUGCAGCGGGAGUGCAGGAGAGGUAAGCGGAAUUCCUAGUGUAGCGGUGAAAUGCGUAGAUAUUAGGAGGAACACCAGUGGCGAAGGCGGCUUACUGGACUGUAACUGACGUUGAGGCUCGAAAGCGUGGGGAGCAAACAGGAUUAGAUACCCCGGUACA